This 498-nucleotide ribosomal RNA is filed under the name uncultured bacterium. RNAcentral's name for it is "bacterial SSU rRNA". It matches the Rfam family "Bacterial small subunit ribosomal RNA", at positions 8 to 518 of the family's 1533-position model. The record is from RNAcentral.
AGAGUUUGAUUAUGGCUCAGGAUGAACGCUGGCGGCGUGCCUAACACAUGCAAGUCGAACGGAGAUACGAUUUCGGUUGUAUCUUAGUGGCGAACGGGUGAGUAACGCGUGAGCAACCUGACUCUUAGAGGGGGAUAACACUGGGAAACGAGUGCUAAUACCGCAUAAGACCACGACAUGGCAUCAUGACGAGGUCAAAGGAGCAAUCCGCUGAGAGAGGGGCUCGCGUCCCAUUAGAUAGAUGGCGGGGUAACGGCCCACCAUGUCAACGAUGGGUAGCCGAGCUGAGAGGCUGAUCGGCCACACUGGAACUGAGACACGGUCCAGACUCCUACGGGAGGCAGCAGUGGGGAAUAUUGGGCAAUGGGGCCGCAAGCCUGACCCAGCAACGCCGCGUGAGGGAAGAAGGCUUUCGGGUUGUAAACCUCUGUCCUUGGUGACGAAACAAAUGACGGUAGCCAAGGAGGAAGCCCCGGCUAACUACGUGCCAGCCGCCGC